GAUGAACGCUGGCGGCGUGCCUAAUACAUGCAAGUCGAGCGAACAGAUAAGGAGCUUGCUCCUUUGACGUUAGCGGCGGACGGGUGAGUAACACGUGGCUAACCUACCUAUAAGACUGGGAUAACUUCGGGAAACCGGAGCUAAUACCGGAUAACAUAUUGAACCGCAUGGUUCAAUAGUGAAAGGCGGCUUUGCUGUCACUUAUAGAUGGAUCCGCGCCGUAUUAGCUAGUUGGUAAGGUAACGGCUUACCAAGGCAACGAUACGUAGCCGACCUGAGAGGGUGAUCGGCCACACUGGAACUGAGACACGGUCCAGACUCCUACGGGAGGCAGCAGUAGGGAAUCUUCCGCAAUGGGCGAAAGCCUGACGGAGCAACGCCGCGUGAGUGAUGAAGGUCUUCGGAUCGUAAAACUCUGUUAUCAGGGAAGAACAAAUGUGUAAGUAACUGUGCACAUCUUGACGGUACCUGAUCAGAAAGCCACGGCUAACUACGUG
Molecule: ribosomal RNA, 497 nt
Filed under: uncultured bacterium
Lineage: Bacteria
Description: partial 16S ribosomal RNA
Rfam family: Bacterial small subunit ribosomal RNA
Source: RNAcentral